Mustela lutreola (European mink) is the source of this 1229-nucleotide long non-coding RNA. RefSeq lists it as uncharacterized. The record is from RefSeq and is a predicted model, not a curated record. The transcript has 2 exons. Lineage: Eukaryota; Metazoa; Chordata; Mammalia; Carnivora; Mustelidae.
AAAAAAGAUUUUAUGUAUUUAUGGGGGGGGGGGAGAGCGAGCACAGGCAGACAGAGUGGCAGCAGAGGCAGAGGGAGAAGCAGGCCCCCUGCUGAGCAAGGAGCCCGAUGUGGGACUCGAUCCCAGGACGCUGGGAUCAUGACCCGAGGCGAAGGCAGCUGCUUAACCAACUGAGCCACCCAGGCGUCCCCAGGGCCUCUCCAGUCCGCGUGGUCAAGUUCGUUCUCCCUGCCCUCGCAACGCUCAGAAUUCUGAUCAUUGGUACAUUUUCUCCUGCCACUUUUCCUGCCUCUCUGAUCCAGGAGUUAAGUCACUAAAUUCUACAGGCCUCUGCUAACCGCCGGUUCGCUGCCUUUGUUCCGCCUGGAAUUGCAGGCUGCCAAUCAACAGAGGAUGCAGACCUCUCAGAGCGAGGGAACUUGGACAGAAUGGCGAGGUGCACUGGUCUCAGCGUACACAAGUGACCUCUUGUUCUCCAAAGCUCUUGACAGACAAGAAGGAAAAAUGACCAGCUCUUCUGCUGUCUUUGUUGUAUGAUGCCUACACUACUGUCUAGGUCCAAAUACAAGCACUUUGCAUUAUAGGACAGCACAAGGAGCAGAAGGUGAGGGCUACAAGGAUUCCUACAGAGGUCGAAAAAUAAGAUCCCUGGAGCUAAGCGAGGGAGAACUUUCUUUCAAAGACUGAGAGCAACACUUCCCUCUCCCUCCCUCUUGUUUCAUCUUUGCCCCUGCCACCCUCCUCCCCCAGACAGGAGCUGUCCAACAGAAAUGGAAUGUCAGUGAACUUGUGGAAUCACUAUGUUGUACACCUGAAAUUGAUGUGAUAUUGUGUGUCGACAAUACGCCAAAGAACAUAUUUAGGAUAAGUUCACCUGACAGUCUCUAGGAUGUGAUUAUUAUGGUUUUCUUUUCUUUCUUUCUUUUUGUGCUUUUUUUUUCCUUAAGGUGAUUUUAAAGGUUUUUCAGAUUACCAUUGAAUCACAAUAUAAUAAACGUAUUCUACUUAAGUCAUCAAUAUAAAAUAAAAGUUGUCUCUCCCAGGUAGGAAUGAUGCCAGAAUUUAUUACACAUUGAGCAAUCCAUGUAUCAUCACAGACAACAUAAAAAUAUCGAAUAGCUGAACUGGUUAAUUUGUAUCAGUGCAUGGCUUUGUUUUGCUGUAUUAUUUCCGCAGAAUUUAUUUAUAUUAAGAGUGCUUUAAUGAAUAAAAAAAGAAAUAUAACAUGA